AUGGAGAAUAUAUUUAAACAAUAUAUGUCCUCGAAGCCUGUUACGAGUGCUUCUCGUGUGCGUACAGAACUGGACUUAUAUUUGGAAGAGGAAAUUAUCCAUAGGCCAGAGGGUCUCGACAUCAUCAAUUGGUGGCAGUAUGCAGGUAUCAAGUAUCCUACAUUGCGAAGAAUGGCUCAUGAUAUACUAGCCAUUCCUGUAACAACUGUGGCGUCGGAAUCUGCCUUCAGUACUAGUGGGAGAAUACUAAGUGCACAUAGAUGUUCACUUGCACCAAACAUGACUGAAGCUCUUAUGUGUAUGCAAGCUUGGUCCCGUGCAGACAUGUUAGGGGAUUGCAAUUCUACUCUCUUUGCGGACUUUGAAACUGUUCUUAAGGAUGACACGGAAAUGAUGGAGGUUGAUGAUCAAUCCAUCCUAACUGAAGCCUGA
RNAcentral lists this ribosomal RNA (432 nucleotides) under Triticum aestivum (bread wheat). RNAcentral describes it as "partial small subunit ribosomal RNA". The record is from RNAcentral. Lineage: Eukaryota; Viridiplantae; Streptophyta; Magnoliopsida; Poales; Poaceae.